Spinacia oleracea (spinach) is the source of this 934-nucleotide long non-coding RNA. RefSeq lists it as uncharacterized. NCBI's taxonomy places the organism in Eukaryota, Viridiplantae, Streptophyta, Magnoliopsida, Caryophyllales, Amaranthaceae. The record is from RefSeq and is a predicted model, not a curated record. The transcript has 4 exons.
AAAAAGCUAAUUUUUUUUUUGAAAGAGGUAUUCGCGGCGCGGGGAUCCUGUACAAGUUGCAAUUAAACGAAGUAAUCGCAGCUUCUGGCCUUACUGAAUGCUGCAAAUCGAUUUUAAUCGCAACCUUCAUGUGUCGAGUUUGCUGCAAUUCAAGGAAACAAAAUAUUUAAUUCGCAAUCUCUAUCUUCUCAACCCAGAUCUAGAAUUUCAAAAAACAAAAAUAUCAGAGAAAGGUUUUCGAAUCUCCAUAGCCAUGCCUCCUUCUACACAAAUAUUCUCCCAAUCUCCAUAACCGUUGAAUUCGAAUUCGAAUACUUCUACACAAAUACUUCGCCGGAUCUGCAGCUCGGAUCUGACUACGCCCACUCGCUACUUCGCCGGAAAGUUUCCUACUCCAUCGGAUCUGCAGCUCGCUCCUCCGCAUCUUCACCGCCUGCGUACCUUCAUCUUCUCCUCUGCUCCACUACGUACCCUUCUCUUCUCCUCUGCUCCACCGUCUGUAACAACGAAAAAGGACCCCUUGCUGGUAUUGCUAGUUUCUUGAACCAAAUCAUCCAUUCGAACUAUCAAGGCGUGAGUUCUUCUACUAGUGUGCUCAACAAGUUGAUGCAGUGGAUAGUGGUUAUUAUGUGAUGAAAUACAUGCAUGAUGUUGUCACAGUAUACAAUGAAUACAAGGAUAAUUUGUCUGAGGGUUAUGUACAAAGAGAAAUGCCAUAUUAUGAUGAGGAGUUAGAAGAAACUCGAGAACAAUGGGAAAAGUAUUUUAAGGACAACUAUUUGAUGGAUGCCGGCGAAUGAGUUUGUUGUCUAGUAAUGUUAUGUUUUAUGUUUUUGUUAUGUGUUGGUUAUGACGUUGGAUGCUACUUGGAGCAUAUAUAUGGUUGUUGGAACAUAUAUGUAAUAUACAGGUCUAAUUUAUAAAUUCUCGUUUU